RNAcentral lists this ribosomal RNA (450 nucleotides) under uncultured bacterium. RNAcentral's name for it is "partial 16S ribosomal RNA". It matches the Rfam family "Bacterial small subunit ribosomal RNA", at positions 354 to 796 of the family's 1533-position model. The record is from RNAcentral.
GUGGGGAAUAUUGGACAAUGGGCGAAAGCCUGAUCCAGCCAUGCCGCGUGUGUGAAGAAGGUCUUCGGAUUGUAAAGCACUUUAAGUUGGGAGGAAGGGCAGUAAGUUAAUACCUUGCUGUUUUGACGUUACCAACAGAAUAAGCACCGGCUAACUUCGUGCCAGCAGCCGCGGUAAUACGAAGGGUGCAAGCGUUAAUCGGAAUUACUGGGCGUAAAGCGCGCGUAGGUGGUUCAGCAAGUUGAAGGUGAAAUCCCCGGGCUCAACCUGGGAACUGCCUCAAAAACUACUGAGCUAGAGUACGGUAGAGGGUAGAGGAAUUUCCUGUGUAGCGGUGAAAUGCGUAGAUAUAGGAAGGAACACCAGUGGCGAAGGCGACUACCUGGACUGAUACUGACACUGAGGUGCGAAAGCGUGGGGAGCAAACAGGAUUAGAUACCCGGGUAGUCC